UGUUUGAAUAUGUUGUAUUGAUGUUUAUUGUGAUAUAAUGUGUGUAUAUCAAGCGGGGAGUGUUAUGCCUUUUGGUCAAAAGUCAGUAGUUAGUGCAUAGUCUGAUUAAGUUACAUAAGCAAAGUGAUAAAUAAGUUCAAAGUUAAGAAAUAUUAUAAGUGAUUCAUGCUAAAAACAGUUAAAAUGUAUGGGUUUGUAAUUUGCUCAGAGUGAGACAUCGUUAUCACAAGCGAUCUUUGCAUUGUAUGUGCGGAAAUGGGAGCGAGGGAGCGCUCUGAUCAUUAACCUAUCUUUGACGUAUUUUCUCCGUUAAUGCCGUGAAAAGUGUUUCGGCAGUAUUAAAAGAGUGAACGAGUUCAUGUACACGCUAAGAGUGCCCUACACGUUUGUGCCUUGGGAAACGUUCGUCUUUUUACAAAUAAGAAAUAGCAAGGAGAAGCCUUGAGAGAGAUAAGACUUUAAAGGAUCUUCAUUAAAAGCAAGAAAAGCAA
Molecule: long non-coding RNA, 491 nt
Organism: Haplochromis burtoni (Burton's mouthbrooder)
Lineage: Eukaryota; Metazoa; Chordata; Actinopteri; Cichliformes; Cichlidae
Exons: 2
Source: RefSeq, a predicted model, not a curated record